CUACGGGGGGSSAGCAGUAGGGAAUCUUCCGCAAUGGACGAAAGUCUGACGGAGCAACGCCGCGUGAGUGAUGAAGGCUUUCGGGUCGUAAAACUCUGUUGUUAGGGAAGAACAAGUACAAGAGUAACUGCUUGUACCUUGACGGUACCUAACCAGAAAGCCACGGCUAACUACGUGCCAGCAGCCGCGGUAAUACGUAGGUGGCAAGCGUUAUCCGGAAUUAUUGGGCGUAAAGCGCGCGCAGGCGGUUUCUUAAGUCUGAUGUGAAAGCCCACGGCUCAACCGUGGAGGGUCAUUGGAAACUGGGGAACUUGAGUGCAGAAGAGAAAAGCGGAAUUCCACGUGUAGCGGUGAAAUGCGUAGAGAUGUGGAGGAACACCAGUGGCGAAGGCGGCUUUUUGGUCUGUAACUGACGCUGAGGCGCGAAAGCGUGGGGAGCAAACAGGAUUAGAUACCCCKRGUAGUCA
This 467-nucleotide ribosomal RNA is filed under the name Priestia megaterium. Its description in RNAcentral is "bacterial SSU rRNA". The record is from RNAcentral. Lineage: Bacteria; Bacillati; Bacillota; Bacilli; Caryophanales; Bacillaceae.